RNAcentral lists this microRNA (21 nucleotides) under Mus musculus (house mouse). Its description in RNAcentral is "mmu-miR-700-3p". Its record names the gene mmu-miR-700-3p. Lineage: Eukaryota; Metazoa; Chordata; Mammalia; Rodentia; Muridae. The record is from miRBase by way of RNAcentral.
CACGCGGGAACCGAGUCCACC